GGCCUCAACUCAGACAAGAGUACCCGCUGAACUUAAGCAUAUCAAUAAGCGGAGGAAAAGAAACUAACAAGGAUUCCCCUAGUAACGGUGAGUGAAGCGGGAACAGCUCAAAUUUUAAAUCUGGCUGCUUUGUAGUCCGAGUUGUAAUUUGAAGGAGUCUUGCCGCUGGCAAAACGAUGGCACAAGUCCUCUGGAACGGGGCAUCGUAGAGGGUGAGAAUCCCGUCUCUGGUCAUCACGCGCUGGCAUACGGCAGGCAUCCGAAGAGUCGAGUUGUUUGGGAUUGCAGCUCCAAAUGGGUGGUAAACUCCAUCUAAGGCUAAAUAUUGGCGAGAGACCGAUAGCGAACAAGUACCGUGAGGGAAAGAUGAAAAGAACUUUGAAAAGAGAGUAAAACAGUACGUGAACUUGUUGAAAGGGAAACGAUUGAAG
RNAcentral lists this ribosomal RNA (431 nucleotides) under uncultured Paraglomus. RNAcentral describes it as "eukaryotic LSU rRNA". It matches the Rfam family "Eukaryotic large subunit ribosomal RNA", at positions 1 to 428 of the family's 3401-position model. The record is from RNAcentral. Lineage: Eukaryota; Fungi; Glomeromycota; Glomeromycetes; Paraglomerales; Paraglomeraceae.